UUGGCUUGGACGAUUUUGGAGAGCUCAAGGAGGGAUUUUCACCAAGCAACACUAGGUAAGUGAUUUCUUCCUAUUUUUGAGUUAAAUAUGUGAUCUUACAUGGAUUUAGACAUGACAAGCAGUAGAAAAAGGUGGAGUUAGGGCUUGAGAUUACGAGACCUUCUAGGGGUGAUUUGAGGGGUCAAACGAGCUCCGAUUUUUUAGUUCUUUAUAUGUACGGACUCGUGAGAUGAUGAAGAACAUUUUGGUAUAAAGUUUGUCCAGUUCCAGGAUGCAGGCUCGAGGGCCGGGUUUUGACUGAUUUCAGGUUUUCUGUUUAAAAUCGAUAUUUUUCAAUUGGAAGUCAUUCAUUUAGCAUAAUUUGAUGAUAAAAAUCUGAACUUGGUAGAUUUGGAGCACUUGGAAGUUGGGUCGAGAGUCAAGCGUGUUGCAGAGUAGCUUUUCGGGCUAGUUCGAGGUAAGUAAUGAUUGUAAAUGUUGUCCUGAAGGUAUAAAACCCCGGGUUUCACAUCAUUGUGCUACUUUGAGGUGACACACACGCUAGAUGACGAGCGUGAGAUCGUGCACCGUUGGAGAUUGUGACUUAGUCCGUCCUGUAUGACUGUUAAACCGCGUAUUUGAUUGAAAACUGUUUGAUAUCAUUGUGUUUUGGAAAGUAUUAUCAUGUUUUGGGCUGGAUGCCAUAUUUGGGUCUCGUGCCAACUGUUUUGGACCCUUAGGGGAUUUUUACUGCUAUUUCUCACUGUUUUGACUUCAUAUUUGUAGUCAGUCAUGUUGUAUUCUAUUGUUUUCAUAACUCAUCCAUAUUACUCCGUUUUGAUAUUUUAAAUGAUAUUUUGGGCCGAG
This 846-nucleotide long non-coding RNA is filed under the name Nicotiana tabacum (common tobacco). RNAcentral's name for it is "long non-coding RNA (NTAB_LNC019275)". The record is from RNAcentral. Lineage: Eukaryota; Viridiplantae; Streptophyta; Magnoliopsida; Solanales; Solanaceae.